CUCUCCAGCCAUGUCACUCUGAAGAAGCCCGAUGUCUGAUCUCGGAAGCUAAGCAGGGUCGGGCCUGGUUAGUACUUGGAUGGGAGACCACCCAGGAAGACCAGGUGCUGUAGGUG
Molecule: ribosomal RNA, 116 nt
Filed under: Pteropus alecto (black flying fox)
Lineage: Eukaryota; Metazoa; Chordata; Mammalia; Chiroptera; Pteropodidae
Source: RNAcentral